AUGACAGGAUAUCACAACCAUUUUUAGCAGAUGAGCUAAAACUUUCAGGAAGCUGAUAAUGAUUAUUGAUGCUGAGAAAUUUAUUUCAAUCAUUCUGGAUUUGUCAGGUAAUUUUGCCACACUUUUCUUCUUGUACUUCUUCUAGACGGGAAAAUCACCUUUUUUCCUCUUCCUCUCUGAGCAGUAAUUUCACAUUCAAUUUUCAAUUUAUUGCAUCAAACUCAUAAAACUAAUAUCGCUGGAAAAGAAUGCAGUAUAAUAAUAAAUAAUCCCUUGUAGGUGACGAAUGCAAGUCCUAUGACUACAUAUCUACACUUCCUGUGUAAUUCUCUUUAGAUGAAAUUUGGGUGGAAAAAAAAUCAAAAAAUAACAUUAGACAGCAAAAGUGUGAAAUUCUCUUGGUAGGAGAGCAAAACUUCUUAUGUGUAUCUUGUAUGGUUUCUUCCCUUGUUCAAGAUCACAAGACUUGCAAACAAAGUUUUUUUGUUUUCAAUAACCGUGGUGUCUGGGCCAGCUUGCCGCACCUCGACACAAAUAACUUUAAAUCUAUCAUAAGCAAUGUGACUUGAAUCGACCAAGAGAAGAUCUCCAUUUUCUUGAGUGGAGAUUUCUAAAUGAUUAACCUUCUUCAUGUUUGUGACCUUCAUUUGCCAGAAAGUCAGACAUUUUUUUUCGUUCCACCAGAUGUAUAUAAUAGUAGCUCUCGUGUGUUCCAGCAAAUUUUUACGGUCUUCAAUAAUAGUCCUGAAGAUUAAUGUUGUAUGUCCUCCUCUUUGAUAAGCUUGACAACAAGUAGAUAGUUUGUUUCCACCUCUAAUUCUUUAUAACAUAUUUCUUUUGCUGCUUUUGAACCUUGUUUGAUGCUCUAUGGCUUUAUAGCGAGGCUUGAAGUUGGCUUCAUUUUACCUGUAUAACUCAAUAUCCACUUUCCUUGUUCGUCUCUAUAAAUCCUUACAAAUGCAGCAUCUCUAGUUUGAGUCUUGAAAUUGGCAUUACUGGCGAUCUGUAAAUAGGGCAAUGUUUGUAUUAGGAAGUUGGCUAAUAUUGGAAUGUGGUGGCAUGGUGCUAUGCACUCCUUAAUUAAAGCCAUGUCAUGCCCUUUGCCUAGACAUCAUCUCUCAUCAGGUUUAGCUAAAUAAUAUUGGGAAAACAAAAUAAUAAAAGAAAACUUGAGCAGAGGAUUUUUUUUUUUUGAUAACUGUGGUGUCCGGGCCAGCUUGCACGCACCUCGACUAAUUCCACGGGAUACACGCUGCCUCCUCCAGCAACAACAGAUGUUAGGUAACUAUGUCCACCAAGGAUAGAAUAGGUGGGAAGAAAUCACCCAGUGUUUGUCUCUACUGAAAAUUUAACCUGAUACCUCAUGGUGCUCGACCCACAACAUUGACCACUAGGCCACUCCCUUGGAUGCGUGGAGGAAUUGAGAUGCUUUACCCGUAUCUUAUAAUUUUGAGUUGGAUGUUCAAAUUCUUUUGGUCAAAUACAUAGACGGCCCCUUAAAGUUGCUUCAGUUUCCUUUUCUUUUCUUUUUUUUCCUGAUAACAACUUCAGUUUUUAUUUCGACACCUUCACUAAAGUCGAUACUUUAACACUCUAACAUCAUUCAAAGUGUGUCCGUUAAACUCUUUGCAAAGAAAAAAAUUGUGAAAAAGAAAAAAGAAAUGAGAAAGAGAAGAAAGGAAAAGUAUGGAAAAAAGGUUAUAUAAGUGAUUCACGCGCUCAACAAUAACUGAAAGUCACUUUUUGCGCCACGUCAAUCCGAGGUGUUUAAUAGACACACUUGGAAUGGUGUUGGAGUGUUCAACAGGUAUUUUCCCUCUUUUAGGUGUAAAUGUGAAAAUUGGAGCCAACUUUAAAGGGCCGUCUGGAUAUUUGGCCAAUUCCUUUAAAAGAUAGCAAAAUAUGCAAACAUGCAAGAUGCUUGAGUACACAUGAAAAUUAACAUCUUAUUAAGUUCCACUUGAAUAGUUAAAUGUACAUAACAAAAUAUCACAUUUCACAAGCAUGCUGGCAUGUAACUUAUUAGCUCAUAUACACAAAGCAAACAGAGAAGAAGAAAAAGCAGCCAGGAUAGACCAUUCCCUGGAACGUGUGGGGAAGAAGAGAAGUGGCACCAGACGGAACAACAUUCACAGAGGAAGAAUCCGAGGAGGGAUCGUCCUUCUUUGGCUUUGAUGGCUCUGGAGCAGGUGCUGGUGGUAAUGGUUUGACAAAGAAUUUCAAAGGAAGCAGUACCUUAUCCACUUGGUAAAUAGCUAAUUGACUGUCAGUGUAAAUUGUACUGGUCAGACUUGCAUUAACAAUCCCAGUUGUUAUGUUCACUGCUGUCCCGUUUGUGGCUAUAUUGAUGGGGAAUUCACGAUUAGUGGUUCCUCCAGCUUGUGUUUGUACAGGGUUGCUAGCCGUUUGGAACUGUGAUAGGGAGAAAUAUGAGGGGAGGAUAUGGAAUUUAACUAAUUCAGCUUUCCGCUGAUCACUGAAAGAGUUGAGGGUGCCAGUUUUCAGGUUCAAGAAAGCACCAUCCGAUGGAACAAACAUGGUUAUGCUGUUGGAGUUGUUUAGUAAUGAGGUGAUUUCACCCACUUCAUGAGUGAUUUGUAACAACUUGAUGAACGUCGAACAUGAUCCAGCUUUCGCAAGGAUUUUUAUCACGUUUGGCAG
RNAcentral lists this long non-coding RNA (2661 nucleotides) under Capsicum annuum. Its description in RNAcentral is "long non-coding RNA (CANN_LNC016393)". The record is from RNAcentral. Lineage: Eukaryota; Viridiplantae; Streptophyta; Magnoliopsida; Solanales; Solanaceae.